CAGGACGAACGCUGGCGGCAUGCCUAACACAUGCAAGUCGAACGGAAGUAGAAAUACUUUAGUGGCGAACGGGUGAGUAACACGUGAGCAACCUGCCUUAUACACAGGGAUAACAGUUGGAAACGACUGCUAAUACCGGAUAAGACCACACUAUGGCAUCAUAGAGGGGUCAAAGCGAAAUAAGCGGUAUAAGAUGGGCUCGCGUCCAAUUAGCUAGUUGGUGAGGUAACGGCCCACCAAGGCGACGAUUGGUAGCCGACUUGAGAGAGUGAUCGGCCACACUGGAACUGAGACACGGUCCAGACUCCUACGGGAGGCAGCAGGUGGGGAAUAGUUGGGCAAUGGAAGGAAACUCCUUACCCAGACCAAUGCCGCGUGAGUGAUGAAGGUUCUUUGGAUUAGUAAAGCUUCUUUGAUUGGGGACGAAUAAAUGACGGUACCCAAAGAACAAGCCCCGGCUAACUAUGUGCCAGCCGCUGC
RNAcentral lists this ribosomal RNA (480 nucleotides) under uncultured bacterium. RNAcentral describes it as "bacterial SSU rRNA". It matches the Rfam family "Bacterial small subunit ribosomal RNA", at positions 25 to 518 of the family's 1533-position model. The record is from RNAcentral.